RNAcentral lists this unclassified non-coding RNA (310 nucleotides) under Hevea brasiliensis (rubber tree). The record is from RNAcentral. Lineage: Eukaryota; Viridiplantae; Streptophyta; Magnoliopsida; Malpighiales; Euphorbiaceae.
AUUCACCAGGGGUUUCACCAUCACCGAUCUCCUUACCACCUGCAACUACGCCGUCUCCAUCCCCUGUACCAUCUCCUUCACUGGUUCAUCACUCUAAUCCUAACUCCGAAACUGCACCACCUUCCACUUUGACAUUUGCUCCAAUUCCCGAGGGUCCUUCGCCAUACAUAUUGACAAGCGUUGACGCGAAACACAAAAACCAUCACUGGAAAGUCUAUGGAUCAAUAUUGUCUGGAGUGUCCUUUCUCCUUGCUUCAACGGCAGUUUAUGUACUUUGCUGCCGAGCCAAGGUUGUGACAGUCAGACCUUG